Molecule: long non-coding RNA, 956 nt
Organism: Cyprinus carpio (common carp)
Lineage: Eukaryota; Metazoa; Chordata; Actinopteri; Cypriniformes; Cyprinidae
Source: Ensembl
AAAUAUUUUCCUCUGAAACAAUUAGUCUGAAUGGAAUACAUCUAUUUGGUUAAAUGAAAUGUACUAGAGGCACUUUUAUUUAGCUGCCUUUAACGUUUCAAUCUUUCUGCUCCAAUUUAGGUCCAUGAAAGAUCAAAUUGUGCACAUGAGUCACCACGAAGAACUGAGUCAACUUCUCAAAAAUGUUGAUUCUCAAAUCUCAACAUUUUUAAGUCAAAAACCAGCUGAUUCUGAAGCCUGCCAAGAUCAACUGCUGAAAGUAAAGGUUUGUGGUCAUUUAGCAUUAACAGGUUAAAUGCAUAGCAAUAAUGCCUAUGGAGAUCUUAAGAAGAUUUGGGAAAGCAGUGAAAACUUGCUUUUACUUCCCUUUUGCCUUCUGAAAAUCAGUUUUUUAUGGUUCCUUGUGCCACUUUUCAUCUCAUAACAAUGCAAGUAUGCACUAGAAUUGUCUUCAUCUGCAGGUGCUCCAGACAGAGCUGAAGAACCUCUCUAAAAAGCUGAAGGAACUGAGCGAAAGCUGCCCAGGUCUUCGCUGCAAAGCACCCAUGGAUCUGAUGCUGGGACAACUGUGGAGGUCUUGGGCAGUGCUGCAGUGCAGAGUGGAAUCUCUCAAAGCCAGCAUGUCUCAUAAAGAAGCAGAGUGGAGAGACUUGGUGAUACGUCUGAAUAAAUCAAAGGAAGGUCUUGACAGACUGCAGAAUGAUCUCCCAGACUCGUCUACGGUGAUGGGAUCCCUGGUGGAUCUUCAGGGUGUUCUGAGCCUCACUGAGCGCCUUCAAGAUGGGAUUGAGCAGGAGCAUCACACUUUGGCAUCUCUACAACACCAUGUGGCACGAUUGCUUGGGGUCUCAAAUUUGCAGCAGCUGAAAGUGUGUCCUCAAAUCUGUCAGGACUUGCAGUCUCUUCAGGGUCACUGCAGAAGGUUUGACUUGUACACACAUGCACAAAAACAUUGA